Molecule: transfer RNA, 91 nt
Filed under: Hydrogenophilaceae bacterium
Lineage: Bacteria; Pseudomonadati; Pseudomonadota; Hydrogenophilia; Hydrogenophilales; Hydrogenophilaceae
Description: tRNA-Ser
Rfam family: tRNA
About the family: Transfer RNA (tRNA) molecules are approximately 80 nucleotides in length. Their secondary structure includes four short double-helical elements and three loops (D, anti-codon, and T loops). Further hydrogen bonds mediate the characteristic L-shaped molecular structure. tRNAs have two regions of fundamental functional importance: the anti-codon, which is responsible for specific mRNA codon recognition, and the 3' end, to which the tRNAs corresponding amino acid is attached (by aminoacyl-tRNA synthetases). tRNAs cope with the degeneracy of the genetic code in two manners: having more than one tRNA (with a specific anti-codon) for a particular amino acid; and 'wobble' base-pairing, i.e. permitting non-standard base-pairing at the 3rd anti-codon position.
Source: RNAcentral
GGAGACGUGGCCGAGCGGCUGAAGGCGGCGCCUUGCUAAGGCGUUAUACCUUAACCGGGUAUCGAGGGUUCGAAUCCCUCCGUCUCCGCCA